RNAcentral lists this long non-coding RNA (286 nucleotides) under Elaeis guineensis (African oil palm). RNAcentral's name for it is "long non-coding RNA (EGUI_LNC003009)". Lineage: Eukaryota; Viridiplantae; Streptophyta; Magnoliopsida; Arecales; Arecaceae. The record is from RNAcentral.
CUUUAUCCAAAGAAAAUCUUGGAUGUGGGAAAGAGAAAGAAUAUGGCUGUUGAAAUUAGAGAGGGUAGAGAAUCUUCUUGUUCUCGUACCUUUCACAUAGGGAUUCCGGGACUAUAUAUAGCUAUGUAAUUUGGAAUCACCUAAGAGUUAUGCUGUAAUGGAUUGGGGCCAUGCAAUAACUUCUGAGGUAUGUACUAUAACAAUCCAAGAUCAUAUUGUUACUGCCUUAGAAUACAAUAAAAUCACCUAAAGCCAGACUAUGGCUGCCUAGCACAUAUUGUAACCA